Molecule: non-coding RNA, 78 nt
Organism: Desmophyllum pertusum
Lineage: Eukaryota; Metazoa; Cnidaria; Anthozoa; Scleractinia; Caryophylliidae
Source: the annotation of a GenBank genome assembly
GGCUUCAUAGCUCCCGGCAGUUGGUAGAGCAACGCAGUAGUAACGCGGAGGUCAUGGGUUCAAAUCCCAUUGAAGCCA